UAAUACGAACCGUCCAAACGUUACUCGGAAUCACUGGGCUUAAAGGGUGCGUAGGCCGCGCGGAGGGUGGGAUGUGAAAUCCCCCGGCUCAACCGGGGAAUAGCGUCCCAAACCGCCGUGCUCGAGGGAGACAGAGGUGAGCGGAACUGAUGGUGGAGCGGUGAAAUGCGUUGAUAUCAUCAGGAACACCAGUGGCGAAAGCGGCUCACUGGGUCUUUCCUAACGCUGAGGCACGAAAGCUAGGGGAGCGAACGGGAUUAGAUACCCCGGUAGUCCUAGCCUUAAACGAUGAGCACUUGAUUGGAGGGAUGGUCACGUCCUUCCGGUCGUAGCGAAAGUGUUAAGUGCUCCGCCUGGGGAGUAUGGUCGCAAGGCUG
Molecule: ribosomal RNA, 377 nt
Filed under: uncultured bacterium
Lineage: Bacteria
Description: bacterial SSU rRNA
Rfam family: Bacterial small subunit ribosomal RNA
Source: RNAcentral